UACGGAGGGUCCAAGCGUUAUCCGGAUUUAUUGGGUUUAAAGGGUGCGUAGGCGGUUUGAUAAGUUAGAGGUGAAAUCUCGGAGCUCAACUCCGAAACUGCCUCUAAUACUGUCGAGCUAGAGAGUAGUUGCAGUAGGCGGAAUGUAUGGUGUAGCGGUGAAAUGCUUAGAGAUCAUACAGAACACCGAUUGCGAAGGCAGCUUACUAAACUAUAUCUGACGUUGAGGCACGAAAGCGUGGGGAGCAAACAGG
This 253-nucleotide ribosomal RNA is filed under the name uncultured bacterium. RNAcentral's name for it is "partial 16S ribosomal RNA". It matches the Rfam family "Bacterial small subunit ribosomal RNA", at positions 524 to 776 of the family's 1533-position model. The record is from RNAcentral.